This 800-nucleotide ribosomal RNA is filed under the name uncultured bacterium. RNAcentral describes it as "bacterial SSU rRNA". It matches the Rfam family "Bacterial small subunit ribosomal RNA", at positions 65 to 858 of the family's 1533-position model. The record is from RNAcentral.
AGCGGAACUGUUUGAGAUUACAUCAAGAGCAGUUUAGCGGCAGACGAGUGAGUAACACGUAAGCAAUCUACCCUCGAAUGGCGGAUAACUAGCCGAAAGGUUAGCUAAUACGCCGUAUUCUCCUUGGAAGGCAUCUUCUGAGGAGGAGAGACCCGCAAGGGUCGUUCGUGGAGGAGCUUGCGGCCCAUCAGCUAGUUGGCGGUGUAACGGACCACCAAGGCUACGACGGGUACCCGGCUUGAAAGGGCGGACGGGCACGAUGGCACUGAGACACGGGCCAUACUCCUACGGGAGGCAGCAGUGGGGAAUUUUGGACAAUGGGGGAAACCCUGAUCCAGCAACUCUGCGUGAGGGACGAAGGUCUUCGGAUUGUAAACCUCUUUUGCAUGGGACGAAAUCCCGCAAGGGUCUGACGGUACCAUGCGAAUAAGCCACGGCUAACUAUGUGCCAGCAGCCGCGGUAAGACAUAGGUGGCGAGCGUUAUUCGGAAUUACUAGGCGUAAAGCGAGUGUAGGCGGACGCUUAAGUCUGACGUUAAAUCUCCCGGCUUAACUGGGAGCUGUCGUCGGAUACUGAGCGCCUCGAAUGGGGUAGGGGGCAGGGGAAUUCCCGGUGUAGCGGUGAAAUGCGUAGAUAUCGGGAGGAACACCUAUGGCGAAAGCACCUGCCUGGGCCUCUAUUGACGCUAAGACUCGAAAGCUGGGGGAGCAAACAGGAUUAGAUACCCUGGUAGUCCCAGCUGUAAACGAUGGCAACUAGAUGUGGGAGGUAUCGACCCCUUCCGUGUCGUCGCUAACGC